CUGCGGCCUAUCAGCUUGUUGGUGGGGUAAUGGCCCACCAAGGCGAUUACAGGUACGGGCUCUGAGAGGAGAAGCCCGGAGAUGGGUACUGAGACAAGGACCCAGGCCCUAUGGGGCGCAGCAGGCGAGAAAACUUUGCAAUGUGCGAAAGCACGACAAGGUUAAUCCGAGUGAUUUCUGCUAAAGGAAUCUUUUGUUAGUUCUAAAAAUACUAGUGAAUAAGGGGUGGGCAAGUUCUGGUGUCAGCCGCCGCGGUAAAACCAGCACCUCAAGUGGUCAGGAGGAUUAUUGGGCCUAAAGCAUCCGUAGCCUGUUCUAUAAGUUUGCGGUUAAAUCCAUACGCUCAACGUAUGGGCUGCCGUAAAUACUGUAGAACUAGGGAGUGGGAGAGGUAGACGGUACUCGAUAGGAAGGGGUAAAAUCCUUUGAUCUAUUGAUGACCACCUGUGGCGAAGGCGGUCUACCAGAACACGU
This 474-nucleotide ribosomal RNA is filed under the name uncultured Nitrososphaerota archaeon. Its description in RNAcentral is "bacterial SSU rRNA". It matches the Rfam family "Archaeal small subunit ribosomal RNA", at positions 215 to 690 of the family's 1478-position model. The record is from RNAcentral. Lineage: Archaea; Thermoproteati; Nitrososphaerota.